RNAcentral lists this transfer RNA (69 nucleotides) under Termes group sp. F TB-2017. RNAcentral's name for it is "tRNA-Trp". It matches the Rfam family "tRNA". From Rfam's summary of the family: Transfer RNA (tRNA) molecules are approximately 80 nucleotides in length. Their secondary structure includes four short double-helical elements and three loops (D, anti-codon, and T loops). Lineage: Eukaryota; Metazoa; Arthropoda; Insecta; Blattodea; Termitidae. The record is from RNAcentral.
AAGGCCUUAAGUUAAAACGUAAACUAAUAACCUUCAAAGCUAUAAAUAAAGGGAACCCUUUAGGCCUUG